Molecule: non-coding RNA, 265 nt
Filed under: Gossypium arboreum
Lineage: Eukaryota; Viridiplantae; Streptophyta; Magnoliopsida; Malvales; Malvaceae
Description: Eukaryotic large subunit ribosomal RNA
Rfam family: Eukaryotic large subunit ribosomal RNA
Source: Rfam by way of RNAcentral
GGUAGGGUCCAGCGGCCGGAAGAGCACCGCACGUCGCGUGGUGUCCGGUGCGCCUCCGGCGGCCCUUGAAAAUCUGGAGGACCGAGUGCCGUCCGCGCCCGGUCGUACUCAUAACCGCAUAAGGUCUCCAAGGUAAACAGCCUCUGGUCAAUGGAACAAUGUAGGCAAGGGAAGUUGGCAAAAUGGAUCUAUAACCUCGGGAAAAGGAUUGGCUCUGAGGGCUGGGCACGGGGGUCCCAGUCCCGAACCCGUCGACUGCCGGUGC